Molecule: ribosomal RNA, 392 nt
Filed under: uncultured bacterium
Lineage: Bacteria
Description: partial 16S ribosomal RNA
Rfam family: Bacterial small subunit ribosomal RNA
Source: RNAcentral
AUACGGAGGAUCCGAGCGUUAUCCGGAUUUAUUGGGUUUAAAGGGUGCGCAGGCGGCCAUUUAAGUCAGCGGUUAAAUCGUGGGGCUCAACCCCAUUCUGCCGUUGAUACUGGGUGGCUUGAUUGCGGUCGAGGUUGGCGGAAUUCGUUGUGUAGCGGUGAAAUGCAUAGAUAUGACGAAGAACACCGAUUGCGUAGGCAGCUGACCAGACCGCAAAUGACGCUCAUGCACGAAAGUGCGGGGAUCGAACAGGAUCAGAUACCCUGGUAGUCCGCACAGUAAACGAUGAAUACUUGUUUUCGGCGAUAUAAUGUCGGAGGCAAAGCGAAAGCGAUAAGUAUUCCACCUGGGGAGUACGCCGGCAACGGUGAAACUCAAAUGAAUUGGCGGGG